GGUUCCCUGACCUUGUGCCCUAGUGGCUGCUUGUGGUGUUGCAACAUUUGUUUUGAUUGUCUUCCUAAUAGGAAAUUGGUGUCACCUGGAAGGGGUCCUACUUAAGGGGCCCUCUGGCUGAUGCUCUCUCUCUCUCUCUCUCCAUUCAGAGGACAACCUGCAGUCUGGCUACACUGUGCAUUUUUGUUCUUUUGUAGUGUUCUUUAAUUAAAGAUAUUUUGGAAUUGCGACUGUUUUUGAGUGAUCUCGUUUAUGUUGCGACUGGCCAGGGGCUGAUCGUAACAUAAUUGGGGGCUCGUCCGGGAUCUGCUGAUCCGAUGCCGGGGUCAUUGGACGUGUUGGGAUGGAGAUACGGGUCGGAAAUUGGUGUCACCUGGAAGGGGUCCUACUUAAGGGGCCCUCUGGCUGAUGCUCUCUCUCUCUCUCUCCAUUCAGAGGACAACCUGCAGUCUGGCUACACUGCACAUUUUUGUUCUUUUGUAGUGUUCUUUAAUUAAAGAUAUUUUUGAAUUGCGA
Molecule: long non-coding RNA, 516 nt
Organism: Anguilla rostrata (American eel)
Lineage: Eukaryota; Metazoa; Chordata; Actinopteri; Anguilliformes; Anguillidae
Exons: 3
Source: RefSeq, a predicted model, not a curated record